RNAcentral lists this ribosomal RNA (102 nucleotides) under Escherichia coli. Its description in RNAcentral is "partial 16S ribosomal RNA". It matches the Rfam family "Bacterial small subunit ribosomal RNA", at positions 1 to 100 of the family's 1533-position model. The record is from RNAcentral. Lineage: Bacteria; Pseudomonadati; Pseudomonadota; Gammaproteobacteria; Enterobacterales; Enterobacteriaceae. RNAcentral also lists the same sequence under 18 other names.
UUAAAUUGAAGAGUUUGAUCAUGGCUCAGAUUGAACGCUGGCGGCAGGCCUAACACAUGCAAGUCGAACGGUAACAGGAAGCAGCUUGCUGCUUUGCUGACG